RNAcentral lists this ribosomal RNA (770 nucleotides) under uncultured cyanobacterium. RNAcentral's name for it is "bacterial SSU rRNA". It matches the Rfam family "Bacterial small subunit ribosomal RNA", at positions 28 to 838 of the family's 1533-position model. The record is from RNAcentral. Lineage: Bacteria; Bacillati; Cyanobacteriota.
GAUGAACGCUGGCGGUAUGCUUUACACAUGCAAGUCGUACGAGAGUUUUUAACUCAAGUGGCGGACGGGUGAGUAACACGUAAGAAUUUACCUUUAGGAGGGGGACAACAACUGGAAACGGUUGCUAAUACCCCAUAUGCUUUCGAGUGAAAUGGAUUUCCGCCUAAAGAGAAGCUUGCGGCUGAUUAGCUUGUUGGUAAGGUAAUGGCUUACCAAGGCGACGAUCAGUACCUGGUUUGAGAGGACGAUCAGACACACUGGAACUGAGACACGGUCCAGACUCCUACGGGAGGCAGCAGUGGGGAAUUUUCCGCAAUGGGCGAAAGCCUGACGGAGCAAUACCGCGUGAGGGAAGACUGCCUAUGGGUUGUAAACCUCUUUUUUCAGGGAGGAAUCAAAUGACGUGUACCUGAAGAAUAAGCAUCGGCUAACUCCGUGCCAGCAGCCGCGGUAAGACGGAGGAUGCAAGUGUUAUCCGGAAUCACUGGGCGUAAAGCGUCUGUAGGUGGUCAAAUAAGUCAACUGUUAAAUCUUGAGGCUCAACCUCGAAAUCGCAGUCGAAACUAUUAGACUAGAGUAUAGUAGGGGUAAAGGGAAUUUCCAGUGGAGCGGUGAAAUGCGUAGAGAUUGGAAAGAACACCGAUGGCGAAGGCACUUUACUGGGCUAUUACUAACACUCAGAGACGAAAGCUAGGGUAGCAAAUGGGAUUAGAUACCCCAGUAGUCCUAGCUGUAAACAAUGGAUACUAGAUGUUGGACAGAUCGACCUG